AUUGAACGCUGGCGGCAUGCCUUACACAUGCAAGUCGAACGGUAACGCGGGGCAACCUGGCGACGAGUGGCGAACGGGUGAGUAAUGUAUCGGAACGUGCCCAGUUGUGGGGGAUAACUGCUCGAAAGAGCAGCUAAUACCGCAUACGACCUGAGGGUGAAAGCGGGGGAUCGCAAGACCUCGCGCAAUUGGAGCGGCCGAUAUCAGAUUAGGUAGUUGGUGAGGUAAAGGCUCACCAAGCCGACGAUCUGUAGCUGGUCUGAGAGGACGACCAGCCACACUGGGACUGAGACACGGCCCAGACUCCUACGGGAGGCAGCAGUGGGGAAUUUUGGACAAUGGACGCAAGUCUGAUCCAGCCAUGCCGCGUGCGGGAAGAAGGCCUUCGGGUUGUAAACCGCUUUUGUCAGGGAAGAAACGCUCUGGGUUAAUACCUCGGGGUAAUGACGGUACCUGAAGAAUAAGCACCGGCUAACUACGUGCCAGCAGCCGCCGUAA
Molecule: ribosomal RNA, 498 nt
Filed under: uncultured bacterium
Lineage: Bacteria
Description: partial 16S ribosomal RNA
Rfam family: Bacterial small subunit ribosomal RNA
Source: RNAcentral